AUGACAAUAAAUUCGAUCAUGACCGUGCCAAAUAUAUCUACAGAAUUUGAAAACACAAAACAUAAAAGAAAACAAAAAAAAAGUGAAGAGGGGUGUCCUCUCAGACAAAUGCCUCGUUUAGUCCUCAUGAUUUUUUUGAAUGGAAAUUUCAUCAGACUCGUCAUCAUUAUGAUCAUCACCGAGAACACCACAUCUUACUAUUACUUAAGCAAAAUUGAAAAACAAAAGCAUUGA
Molecule: non-coding RNA, 234 nt
Organism: Vicia faba (fava bean)
Lineage: Eukaryota; Viridiplantae; Streptophyta; Magnoliopsida; Fabales; Fabaceae
Source: the annotation of a GenBank genome assembly